GGGGGAGGUGAAGACGCUCCUACGAUAAAGCCGUUGGUGUGAGAUAAAUAUCGAGAGGUCUUUCCCCCAUACCACAGAGUAGAAUCUUCGGCCAUCUCUGAAUUUGUAGAGAUGGGGUUUCACUGUGUUAACCAGGAUGGUCUCGAUCUCCUCACCUUAUGAUCCACCCGCCUCGGCCUCCCAAAGUCCUGGGAUUACAAAGGCCUGCAGGAUGAACUGGUCUUAAGUGUGAGAAAGAUUUAGCUAUGUGAUGAUGUGGAGGAAGGUGAAGUACUACAAAUCAAGAGAGCAUAAAAACAAGAACAGAAAUAUUUCAGCAUGUGAACAGUGGACUAAACAGGACGAAAAGCUUGGGGCCACACUACUUUCUCUCGAAAUGUCAGACAAAGAAAUUCUUCUGCAGACUGGUGGAAGCUUGAAAGGUUAGGACGCAGUGGCUCAUGCCUGUAAUCCCAACGUUUUGGGAGACCAGGUCGGGAGGAUGGCUUGAGCCCAGGAGUUCCAAGUUAGUGAGCUAUGAUUGCGCCACUGUACUCCAGCCUGGACGACAGAGG
Symphalangus syndactylus (siamang) is the source of this 554-nucleotide long non-coding RNA. RefSeq lists it as uncharacterized. NCBI's taxonomy places the organism in Eukaryota, Metazoa, Chordata, Mammalia, Primates, Hylobatidae. The record is from RefSeq and is a predicted model, not a curated record.